CGGACUUCACGUUGGAUGAAAGGUGAAGGAGGAACCAGCCCGUUCUUAUGUUGGGUUUGUCCAGCACCAAGGCAGUUGUCCGAAUGAAGGAGACGACCCUCUUUGGCCGUGCAGGGGGGCUGCAUACCCAGAUCUCGACUUCUGCAGAGGGUUCAAAAAGUAUAGACGAGACCUGGUGGUUGGGCGCGCAGGCUGCGAGUUGGUGCAGCGAUGAGCUAAUCAGCAAGUGCAGCUUCCGCACCGCUCGCCUAACAAGGAAGCCGCGCACUGCGGCUUGUAGGCGCACCACAGCCUGCUCAUGUGAUGACGGCCAUGGGGUGGCCCUGGAGGCCACAGCAAGGUGCUUCUCCCCACGAAGGGACUGUACCUGGCGGCGUGCCAGGAACCCUCGCGCUGCCGCCUGAAGCCGCAACGCUGCUUGGAGUUCCUUCUCUGUCUUCUCCUUGUAGCGGUGGAACAUCACAACGAACUGAUCCCACUUCUCUGUGAGACGACCAAAACUCUCUUUGAGCCGAGUGAAUGCAUCUAGAGUUGGAGAGGGCGGGUGGGAGGGCGUUGCGGCGGCUGAUUGCGCGGCGGCUGGUGGUGGUGAGGGAUAGGCGGCUGGUGGUGGUGAGGAUAACCUGGAGCUGAUACCAGGUGUCAUGGACCUUCGGUCCAUGGGGAUAGCUGUCUUCUCCGGCGAGGUUAUACCCCUCUGUCGCAGGCUUGGUUCUAGGGUAGCAGCCCUAGGCGCUUGAGAGAGAGUCAUUGCAAGGGAGAGAGAUUGGUUUGAUAAUGAUCUUGCUUGAUUUAUUCUCUGCUGUCAUGCGGCUUAUAAAUAGCCCUAUGGCUAACCAACUUCUUCUACAAACUCUCAACUAACUCCUACUUUCUUGGACUUAUCUGCUGCUAACCAACUCUCCACAAUUCUCUCAUCUCAAUCUUAUUCUCUAGCCUUAUCCCAGCUCAUCUCAAUCUUAUUCUCUAGCCUUAUCCUAGCCUGGUUGUUGCCUCUUGCUCCCUAUGAUGCCCAUGACAUCUCCCCCUCCCUUGAGGACCAGCUCGUCCUCGAGCUGCCAUAGACUUACCUGACACGACUUAAGGUUAAGCCUUUUACAUCUCGGCUUACCUUUAUUAUUUAAGACGAAAAUACAAAAUAAUUGUGGAACUAAAAUAUAAAUUUGAACUGCAGCUAUGUCCUCCUGUCCUCCUGGAUCCCAAGGAAAGAGCUGAACUGCGGACUUCACGUUGGAUGAAAGGUGAAGGAGGAACCAGCCCGUUCUUAUGUUGGGUAUGCAGCCCCCCUCGGCAGAGAGGUAUAACCUCGCCGGAGAAGACAACUAUCCCCAUGGACCGAAGGUCCAUGACAUUGAUGUACUAUAUCUACUACUGGCGUCUCAAGUAAAGCUUCACUAACUGCAUGUGAAGUAUGUGUUGUAAGUUGUAACAAAGCUCUGCUUAAUCCGCGUGUCACAAUGAACCUUGGGAAAUUUGGGCUACUAUUAGGGCUAGUUUGGGAACACCAUUUUCCCAAUGGAUUCCUAUUUUGCCCAAGGGAAAAUAAAUUAAUUUUCCUGGGAAAACAAAAAUCUCUUGGGAAAAUGUGGUUUCCAAAUCAGCCCUUAGAAUGGUGAAAUGCAUUGGGAAGCUUCCUAUGCCAUUCGUGCUCAACAUGAAAGGUCACUAGAUAACACUAGUAACUAAUAAUUGAUGGUAGAAGAUAGUAUUGUUGCAUUGCUUUUUUAUCUGGUUGUUUUGCAACGGACUAAUACUUGAUUUGGUGCAUCCUGAUU
RNAcentral lists this long non-coding RNA (1775 nucleotides) under Zea mays. RNAcentral's name for it is "long non-coding RNA (ZMAY_LNC001941)". The record is from RNAcentral. Lineage: Eukaryota; Viridiplantae; Streptophyta; Magnoliopsida; Poales; Poaceae.